Non-coding RNA from Rattus norvegicus (Norway rat), 73 nucleotides. Lineage: Eukaryota; Metazoa; Chordata; Mammalia; Rodentia; Muridae. The record is from Rfam.
GGGGAGGUGGCUCAGUGGUUAAGAGCACUGACUGCUCUUCCAGAGGUCCUGAGUUCAAUUCCCAGCAACCACA